AGAGUUUGAUCCUGGCUCAGGAUGAACGUUGGCGGCAUGCUUAACACAUGCAAGUCGAACGCAGGCUUCGGCCUGAGUGGCGAACGGGUGCGUAACACGUAGGUGACCUGGCCUGGAGUGGGGGAUAACCCUCGGAAACGGGGGCUAAUACCGCAUGGUCUGGAGGCGUUUUGAAAGCCUUCAGUAAAGCUUUAAGUGCUCUAGGGGGGGCCUGCGGCCUAUCAGGUAGUUGGUGGGGUAAAAGCCUACCAAGCCGAUGACGGGUAGCUGACCUGAGAGGGUGGUCAGCCACAGGGGAACUGAGACACGGUCCCCACUCCUACGGGAGGCAGCAGUGAGGAAUAUUGGGCAAUGGGGGCAACCCUGACCCAGCAAUGCCGCGUGCGGGAGGACGCCCUUCGGGGUGUAAACCGCUUUUGUGAGGGAGGAGCAAGGACCGUACCUCACGAAGAAGUCACGGCUAACUACGUGCCAGCAGCCGCGGUAAUACGUAGGUGGCGAACGUUAUCCGGAGUUACUGGGCGUAAAGGGUCCGCAGGCGGGUCUGCAAGUCUGACGUGAAAUCUUCUGGCUUAACUAGAAGAGGUCGUUGGAAACUGCAGGUCUAGCAUCCCGCAGAGGUCGGUGGAAUUCCCGGUGUAGUGGUGGAAUGCGUAGAGAUCGGGAGGAACCUCGAAAGCGAAGGCAGCCGGCUGGGCGCGGAUGGACGCUGAGGGACGAAAGCGUGGGGAGCGAACAGGAUUAGAUACCCCGGUAGUCC
Molecule: ribosomal RNA, 760 nt
Filed under: uncultured bacterium
Lineage: Bacteria
Description: bacterial SSU rRNA
Rfam family: Bacterial small subunit ribosomal RNA
Source: RNAcentral